Molecule: ribosomal RNA, 468 nt
Filed under: uncultured Streptococcus sp.
Lineage: Bacteria; Bacillati; Bacillota; Bacilli; Lactobacillales; Streptococcaceae
Description: bacterial SSU rRNA
Rfam family: Bacterial small subunit ribosomal RNA
Source: RNAcentral
GACGGGGCCCGCACAAGCGGCGGAGCAUGUGGUUUAAUUCGACGCAACGCGAAGAACCUUACCAGGGCUUGACAUCCCCUGACCGCGUAUGAAGUACGUUUUCACCCUCGGGUGACAGGGAGACAGGUGGUGCAUGGUUGUCGUCAGCUCGUGUCGUGAGAUGUUGGGUUAAGUCCCGCAACGAGCGCAACCCCUAUUGUUAGUUGCCAUCAUUCAGUUGGGCACUCUAGCGAGACUGCCGGUAAUAAACCGGAGGAAGGUGGGAUGACGUCAAAUCAUCAUGCCCCUUAUGACCUGGGCUACACACGUGCUACAAUGGUUGGUACAACGAGUUGCGAGUCGGUGACGGCGAGCUAAUCUCUUAAAGCCAAUCUCAGUUCGGAUUGUAGGCUGCAACUCGCCUACAUGAAGUCGGAAUCGCUAGUAAUCGCGGAUCAGCACGCCGCGGUGAAUACGUUCCCGGGCCUU